RNAcentral lists this ribosomal RNA (710 nucleotides) under uncultured bacterium. RNAcentral describes it as "bacterial SSU rRNA". It matches the Rfam family "Bacterial small subunit ribosomal RNA", at positions 94 to 823 of the family's 1533-position model. The record is from RNAcentral.
AGCGGCGGACGGGUGAGUAACGCGUGGGUAACCUGCCCUGUACACACGGAUAACAUACCGAAAGGUAUGCUAAUACGAGAUAAUAUGCUUUUAUCGCAUGGUAGAAGUAUCAAAGCUUUUGCGGUACAGGAUGGACCCGCGUCUGAUUAGCUAGUUGGUAAGGUAACGGCUUACCAAGGCGACGAUCAGUAGCCGACCUGAGAGGGUGAUCGGCCACAUUGGAACUGAGACACGGUCCAAACUCCUACGGGAGGCAGCAGUGGGGAAUAUUGCACAAUGGGCGAAAGCCUGAUGCAGCAACGCCGCGUGAGCGAUGAAGGCCUUCGGGUCGUAAAGCUCUGUCCUCAAGGAAGAUAAUGACGGUACUUGAGAAGGAAGCCCCGGCUAACUACGUGCCAGCAGCCGCGGUAAUACGUAGGGGGCUAGCGUUAUCCGGAAUUACUGGGCGUAAAGGGUGCGUAGGUGGCUUCUUAAGUCAGAGGUGAAAGGCUACGGCUCAACCGUAGUAAGCCUUUGAAACUGGGAAACUUGAGUGCAGGAGAGGAGAGUGGAAUUCCUAGUGUAGCGGUGAAAUGCGUAGAUAUUAGGAGGAACACCAGUUGCGAAGGCGGCUCUCUGGACUGUAACUGACACUGAGGCACGAAAGCGUGGGGAGCAAACAGGAUUAGAUACCCUGGUAGUCCACGCCGUAAACGAUGAGUACUAGCUGU